This 1017-nucleotide long non-coding RNA is filed under the name Homo sapiens (human). RNAcentral describes it as "non-protein coding lnc-AFG3L2-4:3". Lineage: Eukaryota; Metazoa; Chordata; Mammalia; Primates; Hominidae. The record is from RNAcentral.
GAGGGAGGACGCGCGGGCGCCAGUCGGGGGACCCUUGCCGGGAGCCGGGCGGAAAAGGACGGGCCCGGAGCUGGCGGGGAGGAGACGGGAAGGAGCGCGGCGCCCGCCCCCACCACCGUUUCGCUGCCCCUUGUGGUGCCCCGCCAGAGGGAGACGCGAGUCGGGCCCUGGCGUCGGGGCAGCGGAGCCGACGUGGCCCGCGGGGUCCCAGCGCCGCGCCCGGGAGCAUUGCAGCCGCCCGCGCCCAGUCCAGCCAAGCCGGGACACUGCCCUGGGGUUCGGCGGUGGAGCUUUUCAGGGUCUCUGCCCCCUGCCCCCCACCCCCCGGUCGCACCCCGGGCACACGUUCUUAGGGCCUCUUCGUCCUGGUGUUUCCGUCUCCGGAGAUACAGAGGCCAUUCCUCUCCGACGACUCCCACCCCUUUGGAACCGGGUUUAGCUAAAGUGACUACAGGGCUGGAUCCGAAAAUGAACACCUCCUGCGCCGGGUCUAUGCAGCCUACUCCUCGCGCGUUAGCGAAGAAAUGCGCUUCGGCCUGGGAGGGCGCGCCAGAGUCCGUCUUCCUGGCCAGUUUUGUGUGGUGGAAAGGAAUGACUGCUGAUGCCGGCCGGGUGACUUGGAUUUUAAUUCUAGCUGUUUUCAGUUAGCUCUGCGCUUCAGCGGACUCCUCUGUUAACGGAAAAGGUUAUCCUAGGGGAGCCUUUCAGCCUCCAAAAUGCGGGAUGCUCUGGCCUCUGCAGUCAGAAUGUGCAUGCAUCAGGGCUUUUGCGGAAGUUUCCUCACGUGAACGCUGCAGGCUGGGACCACCGGGGUAGCCUCUGCGUCCCCUCCCAGGCCCGUAGAAACGCCGCACAUGAGGAAGCGACGAUGUUCUGUAAUUUGCACUGGCACUUUCUUUUUAGACAGAUGAAAACUUUGGGAAAUUCCUAAUUGUGUGUGUGCAUGUUUGUACGUUUGGAAGGGAGUGGAGAACUUUUAAAAGUUUUUCUUCUGGAGUUUUGCAAAUGUUUCCAAAU